RNAcentral lists this ribosomal RNA (600 nucleotides) under uncultured bacterium. RNAcentral's name for it is "bacterial SSU rRNA". It matches the Rfam family "Bacterial small subunit ribosomal RNA", at positions 338 to 941 of the family's 1533-position model. The record is from RNAcentral.
CCUACGGGAGGCAGCAGUAGGGAAUAUUGGUCAAUGGGGGCAACCCUGAACCAGCCAUGCCGCGUGCAGGAAUAAGGCCCUAUGGGUCGUAAACUGCUUUUGAACGGGAAGAAACCUAUUUACGUGUAGAUAGUUGACGGUACCGUUAGAAUAAGGAUCGGCUAACUUCGUGCCAGCAGCCGCGGUAAUACGAAGGAUCCAAGCGUUGUCCGGAUUUACUGGGUUUAAAGGGUGCGUAGGCGGACUCAUAAGUCAGUGGUGAAAGCCUUCAGCUUAACUGAAGAACUGCCAUUGAAACUGUGGGUCUCGAGUUCGGUUGAGGUCAUUGGAAUGUAACAUGUAGCGGUGAAAUGCUAUAGAUAUGUUACAGAACACCGAUUGCGAAGGCAGAUGACUAAACCGAAACUGACGCUGAGGCACGAAAGCGUGGGGAUCAAACAGGAUUAGAUACCCUGGUAGUCCACGCCCUAAACGAUGAAUACUCGACCUUAGCGAUAUACAGUUAGGGUCCAAGCGAAAGCGUUAAGUAUUCACCUGGAAGUACGUUCGCAAGAUGAAACUCAAGGAAUUGACGGNUGNGAGNGCGAGNGNAGAGGAGAG